RNAcentral lists this ribosomal RNA (1739 nucleotides) under Shigella flexneri. Its description in RNAcentral is "partial 23S ribosomal RNA". It matches the Rfam family "Bacterial large subunit ribosomal RNA", at positions 993 to 2716 of the family's 2925-position model. The record is from RNAcentral. Lineage: Bacteria; Pseudomonadati; Pseudomonadota; Gammaproteobacteria; Enterobacterales; Enterobacteriaceae.
GGGUGCUAACGUCCGUCGUGAAGAGGGAAACAACCCAGACCGCCAGCUAAGGUCCCAAAGUCAUGGUUAAGUGGGAAACGAUGUGGGAAGGCCCAGACAGCCAGGAUGUUGGCUUAGAAGCAGCCAUCAUUUAAAGAAAGCGUAAUAGCUCACUGGUCGAGUCGGCCUGCGCGGAAGAUGUAACGGGGCUAAACCAUGCACCGAAGCUGCGGCAGCGACGCUUAUGCGUUGUUGGGUAGGGGAGCGUUCUGUAAGCCUGUGAAGGUGUGCUGUGAGGUAUGCUGGAGGUAUCAGAAGUGCGAAUGCUGACAUAAGUAACGAUAAAGCGGGUGAAAAGCCCGCUCGCCGGAAGACCAAGGGUUCCUGUCCAACGUUAAUCGGGGCAGGGUGAGUCGACCCCUAAGGCGAGGCCGAAAGGCGUAGUCGAUGGGAAACAGGUUAAUAUUCCUGUACUUGGUGUUACUGCGAAGGGGGGACGGAGAAGGCUAUGUUGGCCGGGCGACGGUUGUCCCGGUUUAAGCGUGUAGGCUGGUUUUCCAGGCAAAUCCGGAAAAUCAAGGCCGAGGCGUGAUGACGAGGCACUACGGUGCUGAAGCAACAAAUGCCCUGCUUCCAGGAAAAGCCUCUAAGCAUCAGGUAACAUCAAAUCGUACCCCAAACCGACACAGGUGGUCAGGUAGAGAAUACCAAGGCGCUUGAGAGAACUCGGGUGAAGGAACUAGGCAAAAUGGUGCCGUAACUUCGGGAGAAGGCACGCUGAUACGUAGGUGAAGCGACUUGCUCGUGGAGCUGAAAUCAGUCGAAGAUACCAGCUGGCUGCAACUGUUUAUUAAAAACACAGCACUGUGCAAACACGAAAGUGGACGUAUACGGUGUGACGCCUGCCCGGUGCCGGAAGGUUAAUUGAUGGGGUUAGCGCAAGCGAAGCUCUUGAUCGAAGCCCCGGUAAACGGCGGCCGUAACUAUAACGGUCCUAAGGUAGCGAAAUUCCUUGUCGGGUAAGUUCCGACCUGCACGAAUGGCGUAAUGAUGGCCAGGCUGUCUCCACCCGAGACUCAGUGAAAUUGAACUCGCUGUGAAGAUGCAGUGUACCCGCGGCAAGACGGAAAGACCCCGUGAACCUUUACUAUAGCUUGACACUGAACAUUGAGCCUUGAUGUGUAGGAUAGGUGGGAGGCUUUGAAGUGUGGACGCCAGUCUGCAUGGAGCCGACCUUGAAAUACCACCCUUUAAUGUUUGAUGUUCUAACGUGGACCCGUGAUCCGGGUUGCGGACAGUGUCUGGUGGGUAGUUUGACUGGGGCGGUCUCCUCCUAAAGAGUAACGGAGGAGCACGAAGGUUGGCUAAUCCUGGUCGGACAUCAGGAGGUUAGUGCAAUGGCAUAAGCCAGCUUGACUGCGAGCGUGACGGCGCGAGCAGGUGCGAAAGCAGGUCAUAGUGAUCCGGUGGUUCUGAAUGGAAGGGCCAUCGCUCAACGGAUAAAAGGUACUCCGGGGAUAACAGGCUGAUACCGCCCAAGAGUUCAUAUCGACGGCGGUGUUUGGCACCUCGAUGUCGGCUCAUCACAUCCUGGGGCUGAAGUAGGUCCCAAGGGUAUGGCUGUUCGCCAUUUAAAGUGGUACGCGAGCUGGGUUUAGAACGUCGUGAGACAGUUCGGUCCCUAUCUGCCGUGGGCGCUGGAGAACUGAGGGGGGCUGCUCCUAGUACGAGAGGACCGGAGUGGACGCAUCACUGGUGUU